RNAcentral lists this ribosomal RNA (433 nucleotides) under uncultured bacterium. RNAcentral describes it as "partial 16S ribosomal RNA". It matches the Rfam family "Bacterial small subunit ribosomal RNA", at positions 29 to 507 of the family's 1533-position model. The record is from RNAcentral.
AACGAACGCUGGCGGCAUGCCUAACACAUGCAAGUCGAACGAGACCUUCGGGUCUAGUGGCGCACGGGUGCGUAACGCGUGGGAACCUGCCCUUAGGUUCGGAAUAACUCCCCGAAAGGGGUGCUAAUACCGGAUAAUGUCUUCGGACCAAAGAUUUAUCGCCUUUGGAUGGGCCCGCGUUGGAUUAGCUAGUUGGUAGGGUAAAAGCCUACCAAGGGGACGAUCCAUAGCUGGUCUGAGAGGAUGAUCAGCCACACUGGGACUGAGACACGGCCCAGACUCCUACGGGAGGCAGCAGUGGGGAAUAUUGGACAAUGGGCGAAAGCCUGAUCCAGCAAUGCCGCGUGAGUGAUGAAGGCCUUAGGGUUGUAAAGCUCCUUUACCCGGGAUGAUAAUGACAGUACCGGGAGAAUAAGCUCCGGCUAACUCCGUG